This 445-nucleotide ribosomal RNA is filed under the name Acinetobacter sp. oral taxon A58. Its description in RNAcentral is "bacterial SSU rRNA". It matches the Rfam family "Bacterial small subunit ribosomal RNA", at positions 30 to 469 of the family's 1533-position model. The record is from RNAcentral. Lineage: Bacteria; Pseudomonadati; Pseudomonadota; Gammaproteobacteria; Moraxellales; Moraxellaceae.
AUUGAACGCUGGCGGCAGGCUUAACACAUGCAAGUCGAGCGGGCGAGGUUGCUUCGGUAACUGAGCUAGCGGCGGACGGGUGAGUAAUGCUUAGGAAUCUGCCUAUUAGUGGGGGACAACAUUCCGAAAGGAAUGCUAAUACCGCAUACGCCCUACGGGGGAAAGCAGGGGAUCUUCGGACCUUGCGCUAAUAGAUGAGCCUAAGUCAGAUUAGCUAGUUGGUGGGGUAAAGGCCUACCAAGGCGACGAUCUGUAGCGGGUCUGAGAGGAUGAUCCGCCACACUGGGACUGAGACACGGCCCAGACUCCUACGGGAGGCAGCAGUGGGGAAUAUUGGACAAUGGGCGAAAGCCUGAUCCAGCCAUGCCGCGUGUGUGAAGAAGGCCUUUUGGUUGUAAAGCACUUUAAGCGAGGAGGAGGCUACCGAGAUUAAUACCCCUGGAUA